This 73-nucleotide transfer RNA is filed under the name bioreactor metagenome. Its description in RNAcentral is "tRNA-Met". It matches the Rfam family "tRNA". Rfam says of the family: Transfer RNA (tRNA) molecules are approximately 80 nucleotides in length. Their secondary structure includes four short double-helical elements and three loops (D, anti-codon, and T loops). Further hydrogen bonds mediate the characteristic L-shaped molecular structure. tRNAs have two regions of fundamental functional importance: the anti-codon, which is responsible for specific mRNA codon recognition, and the 3' end, to which the tRNAs corresponding amino acid is attached (by aminoacyl-tRNA synthetases). tRNAs cope with the degeneracy of the genetic code in two manners: having more than one tRNA (with a specific anti-codon) for a particular amino acid; and 'wobble' base-pairing, i.e. permitting non-standard base-pairing at the 3rd anti-codon position. The record is from RNAcentral.
CGCGGGGUGGAGCAGUGGUAGCUCGUCGGGCUCAUAACCCGAAGGCCGUAGGUUCGAGUCCUACCCCCGCAAC